CCAAUAGCGUAUAUUAAAGUUGUUGCAGUUAAAAAGCUCGUAGUUGAAUUUUAGGCCUGGCCGGGCGGUCCGUCUUUGGCGAGUACUGUUCUGUGUCGGGUCUUACCUUCUGGUGAACCGGAAUGUUCUUAAUUGAGUGUACCGGGGAGCCAGGACCAUUACCUUGAAAAAAUUAGAGUGUUUAAAGCAGGCAUUUGCUUGAAUAGAUUAGCAUGGAAUAAUAGAAUAGGACGUUGGUUCUAUUUUGUUGGUCUAGGACCACCGUAAUGAUUAAUAGGGAUAGUUGGGGGCAUUAGUAUUCAAGUGUCAGAGGUGAAAUUCUUGGAUGUAUUGAAGACUAACUAUUGCGAAAGCAUUUGCCAAGGAUGUUUUCAUUAAUCAAGAACGAAAGUUAGGGGAUCGAAGACGAUCAGAUACCGUCGUAGUCUUAACCAUAAACUAUGCCGACUAGGAAUCGGGCGACGUUAUUUUUAUGACUCGCUCGGCGCCUUAUG
RNAcentral lists this ribosomal RNA (494 nucleotides) under uncultured Glomeromycotina. Its description in RNAcentral is "partial small subunit ribosomal RNA". It matches the Rfam family "Eukaryotic small subunit ribosomal RNA", at positions 591 to 1092 of the family's 1831-position model. Lineage: Eukaryota; Fungi; Glomeromycota. The record is from RNAcentral.